GCAUGCAAAUCCAAAAGACUCGAACACGACAUCUUUUCCAGUCUUCCUCGGAAAACUGCCCAUAACGUGUCUCGGUUUCUCUCUCUCGCACAUGCACACAACCACAUUCAGUUAAAGGUCAUAGAGGAAAGAUCAGGAAUCGCAAGCAAUGAAAACGAAGAAGUACAAAAACAUAAACAGAGAAAGAGACCCAGAAGAAGAAGAAGCAGCUGAAACAGAAGGUACAGAUGAUGAAAUUAUUGUUUUGAGGGACCCAUUGGAGCUGUUUGGUUUGGACAUAAUGUUGAAUAUACUAAGCAACCUUGACGCACGCAGCGGAGUACUCUCCCUCCUUGUCUGCCAUGCUUGGAACGGCGUUGCUUGCAGUGAUCGCCUUUGGAGUUCCAAGUGUGAGGAGUUGUGGCUUGGGAAAGCACACAUGCCCCGGUUGUUGCAAGUUUGGGGAUUGUUGAGGUUGGCCGCUUAUUCAUUAUCUAUCGUGGAUGGAAAACGUUCACGCAUAAUGAGGGAUGAUUUGUGCGACCAUGUUUGGGAGUUUCAUUUCAACGAGGCCGCUCCUGAAUACUGGCGAAGGCUUGAUCCUUAUUGGAACGGCGCUGGCUCCCUUAUGCGCUGCUACUUUCAUCCUGAUGGGAGCCAAACUGCAGAUCAUGGUGAUCAAGUAUGGGGCAGCCAUGACUGAUGUUAUUGCACCGUUACAAGUCUUCUUGAAAAUGGAAAAAUAAGGGAACACUAUGUAAGGAUAAACAGAUGGCCACGAAUGUUUGUGUCCAGAAAGCAGGAUCGGAGCUGGGAAAUGUCCAGUCACCUCUUUUGCUACUCGAGCAUCCCAGACUUUGAUAAAGCAGGCGGAAAUGGACCGCUUUUUCCAGUUAGUAGUUCAAUAAAGCUUGAUUAUAAAGAGAGUAUGUGACACUAAGAUCCCAUCCCAGAAGCCACUAAGAUCCCAUCCCAGAAGCCACAGACUGGACCGCCAGCUACCCACCACCAUGUAACUCUAUGCUUGCCAGAUCAAUUCUAUACCGGAAACACCCAAUCCGUCAGUUCACCGUCCCAUUCCCAGUCACUUCUACGCUAAACGAACCAUCUAUUGGACUCAAUGUCCUGAUUGGCUCGUUAGAUGAUGAUGAUGCCCUCAAAACACACCACUAGAUGAAGCAUAAGAGAAGAUACCUGCAAUUUGGAGGGUCUUCUUAACCAAGGGCGAGGAGCAAGAGAAGGCAAAGAAAGAGAGCUUGGAGAUGCUGAGAGCCGUAGAAGAUCACGCAGGGACAACGUGCUGGCCUAUCUAUGAGAUUUUGCAACAGAUUCAUCCACUGUGCUUUUAACUUCUGUGAAGCUAUAUGGAGUACUGUGGUAUAGUCCAUUUAGUACCAGGGUGAUAUGGGCUCUGAAGCUAAAAGGCAGACCAUAUGAUCGAUCACAUAGAUCGAGGAAGAUCUUCACAACAAGAGAAGAGAAGCACAAGUACAACCCAGUUCACAAGAAGAUCUCAGUUCUUGUUCAUGGACAAAAGCCAAUUUGCGAGUCCAUGGUCAUCGUCGAAUAUAUAGAAGAAACAUAGCAGCAGUACCCCUUGAUGCCCAGUUGCCCACUGACCCUUGUGAGAGAGCCAUGGCUAGGCUCUGGAUUAAAUUUGCUGAAGAUAAGGUCAGUAUACAUAUAAUCCAUAAAUUUAUUCAUAUUGAUCGACUUACCAUUUGACCUUUCAAUUAAAUCAAAAAAUGUUUCUUUAAAAGUGCCAAAACAAGUUUAUGUAAGUUAUGAUUAAUUGUUUCACGUUCACCAACAUAUUAUGCUUACAGAAUGAGAAUAAAGA
RNA transcript from Rosa chinensis, 1819 nucleotides. RefSeq lists it as uncharacterized. The transcript is spliced from 8 exons. The record is from RefSeq and is a predicted model, not a curated record. NCBI's taxonomy places the organism in Eukaryota, Viridiplantae, Streptophyta, Magnoliopsida, Rosales, Rosaceae.